Molecule: ribosomal RNA, 253 nt
Filed under: uncultured bacterium
Lineage: Bacteria
Description: partial 16S ribosomal RNA
Rfam family: Bacterial small subunit ribosomal RNA
Source: RNAcentral
UACGAAGGGGGCUAGCGUUGCUCGGAAUUACUGGGCGUAAAGCGCACGUAGGCGGCUCUUUAAGUCGGGGGUGAAAUCCUGGAGCUCAACUCCAGAACUGCCUUCGAUACUGAAGAGCUCGAGUCCGGGAGAGGUGAGUGGAACUGCGAGUGUAGAGGUGAAAUUCGUAGAUAUUCGCAAGAACACCAGUGGCGAAGGCGGCUCACUGGCCCGGUACUGACGCUGAGACGCGAAAGCGCGGGGAGCGAACGGG